CUGGUCUUGUCUGCUUUCCUCGGCCUGACCCGCAGAAAGUGACCGUCUUGUCCCCUUCCCUUCUCUGUCAGGCUGUGUCUCCCGCUGCCCCCCUUUCAACCUGGCACACCAGCACCGUGGUGCUUUCCUUCCAUACCAGGUGAAUCGGAGCACGCCAACAGCACAGAGCAGCCAGUACUAGGCACUGUGUUGCUCCCCUCACUGCCCAGCUGAGAUACAUCGUUUGAAGGAGGCUAGAGGGAAUGCUGUCCUGGGAAUCGGAGACACUAACUGUACACCUUAAAGAUAUGACAGAGGGGCCACCUGAUACCUGGAAAAGAAACCUGAGAGUUAGAUUUUCUUUAUGCCUGAAGAGAAUGGCAACUGCACCUGCACAAGUGUGAAGGAGGAACAGCAACAUUUUUGAGAUAGUAAAUGAGCUGCAUCAAACCAAAGAAUUAAAGACAAGUAGAUGAAGUACAGUAGUGCUACAGACCUUUCUCUAUUGAAAAUGAGCUGGAGAAGACUUUUUCAAGAGGUAUUAGUAAUUUUGCGUCAUGGGUAAUGACCUUGAAGAUGCUGAGGUUGGUAAAACUGAAAACCUCCUCACUAAAGCUACUGUACACAUGCUAACCCUGUGACCUGGUCAUAGUCUGUUACUUGACCAGGUGUCUCCAAAAUUCUGGCACUGCUAUCCCUGACUGCUAUGCUGUGUCUUUGAGAUGGAGAACUGAAAUCAUAAUAAAACUGCUGAUUACAGACUGAACAUGUUAUAGUUCUGCCACAGUACAAUAGCCCUAGAGCGCAAACUAGUAAAAGGUCUGACAUGCCUUUAUAACCUCACCUUUACAAAGUCAGCAUGAAGUUUUUAUUUUCCUGUCCUCCAGGAAAAUCUAUUUCUGUCAACAAAUCCCAAGGAAUCAAUACUCAUUUAGAAAACUGUAAUAACUGAAACAUUAAUCCUAAUGCCUUUUUAAUACUAAAUGCCUUUAUUAAUGGUUUAUAACUUUACCAUGGGCUAUGUAAGGGUGAUAGACAGCACAGGGUAAGCUUGGAGCAGGAGGCUUGUAAGGAUGCCUAUGUAUGAUACACGUCUCUGCUCACUGGUUCAAGAACAUGAUAUCAAAAUGGGUGGAAUCUUUUCUUUGUUUCCAUUACAAGAAUACAUCCCAUAUGGGAGUCAUCAGCAUCAAUGCUAAGCUUCCCUGUAAGCUCUUUUGAGCCACUGUUAUUAAAAACACAUUACACAUACACCUGUACAAGUUGAAGUCUUGGAAGAACAUGUCUACUUCCCAGAAAUCAAAGUACUUUCAGUGCGGAUGCCUGCAGGGGACAGUGAUCAUAAAGCAGCCAGGGAGCAAAAGGAAUGCUGAGAUUUCAGAGCCUGCAUGAUUACCCACAGCUGUACAAACAGUACAGUGGAGAAAACAGAUUGACCUUGGCCAUGUUUUGAGAGUGCCAGAUAACCAGGUCCUUUAGCACGCUCUGUUUCAACAUGAAGAGGAAAGAAGAGACGGUGACCCUGAGGAACAAGAGGAAACACAACAAUGACUAAAGAAGCAACAUACCAAGUCAGCAACUUAAACAUCUUCAAGGGACUGAUCUGAGAUAGAACUGGUAGGUGAUGACAGACACCUGCCUUAUGUACCUGACAGUGUGAGAAGUGGAUUAGACUGGAUGGAUGGCAGCAGUAUCUCAAGUACAAAUAGAAAGCACCCUCCAAAACAUUAA
Pezoporus occidentalis (night parrot) is the source of this 1710-nucleotide long non-coding RNA. RefSeq lists it as uncharacterized. The transcript is spliced from 3 exons. The record is from RefSeq and is a predicted model, not a curated record. NCBI's taxonomy places the organism in Eukaryota, Metazoa, Chordata, Aves, Psittaciformes, Psittacidae.